This 723-nucleotide ribosomal RNA is filed under the name uncultured Fusobacterium sp. Its description in RNAcentral is "bacterial SSU rRNA". It matches the Rfam family "Bacterial small subunit ribosomal RNA", at positions 28 to 763 of the family's 1533-position model. Lineage: Bacteria; Fusobacteriati; Fusobacteriota; Fusobacteriia; Fusobacteriales; Fusobacteriaceae. The record is from RNAcentral.
GAUGAACGCUGACAGAAUGCUUAACACAUGCAAGUCUACUUGAAUUUGGGUUUUUUAACUUCGAUUUGGGUGGCGGACGGGUGAGUAACGCGUAAAGAACUUGCCUCACAGCUAGGGACAACACUUGGAAACGAAUGCUAAUACCUGAUAUUAUGAUUAUAGGGCAUCCUAGAAUUAUGAAAGCUAUAUGCGCUGUGAGAGAGCUUUGCGUCCCAUUAGCUAGUUGGAGAGGUAACAGCUCACCAAGGCGAUGAUGGGUAGCCGGCCUGAGAGGGUGAACGGCCACAAGGGGACUGAGACACGGCCCUUACUCCUACGGGAGGCAGCAGUGGGGAAUAUUGGACAAUGGACCGAGAGUCUGAUCCAGCAAUUCUGUGUGCACGAUGACGUUUUUCGGAAUGUAAAGUGCUUUCAGUUGGGAAGAAAAAAAUGACGGUACCAACAGAAGAAGUGACGGCUAAAUACGUGCCAGCAGCCGCGGUAAUACGUAUGUCACGAGCGUUAUCCGGAUUUAUUGGGCGUAAAGCGCGUCUAGGUGGUUAUGUAAGUCUGAUGUGAAAAUGCAGGGCUCAACUCUGUAUUGCGUUGGAAACUGUGUAACUAGAGUACUGGAGAGGUAAGCGGAACUACAAGUGUAGAGGUGAAAUUCGUAGAUAUUUGUAGGAAUGCCGAUGGGGAAGCCAGCUUACUGGACAGAUACUGACGCUGAAGCGCGAAAGCGUG